Non-coding RNA from Schizosaccharomyces pombe (fission yeast), 838 nucleotides. Lineage: Eukaryota; Fungi; Ascomycota; Schizosaccharomycetes; Schizosaccharomycetales; Schizosaccharomycetaceae. The record is from the annotation of a GenBank genome assembly.
GAUCUGACCCAAACCAUUAAAAGCGACCCAUACGGAAGUACGAAGUUGUUGUUCACUGCGCUUGUACCAUUGAGCAGUGAGAAGAAUGAAACCAGGACUGGCGGCAGAUUCCAUCAUACCGAGAAGCACACGAAGAGCGAUAAAGCCAGGAUAGUUGGCAACUGAGGUCAUGCAAAGCAAGAAACCCCAAAUGACUAAGAAAACACACAAGGUCUUGGAUAAAGGAAAGCGCUGAAGAAGAAGAGAUGCAGGGAAUUCGAAGACAAGGUAACCCAAGUAGAAAGCAGUACCUGACCAACUAUACAUUUGACCUUCCAUCUUCAAGUCUUCUUUGAGACCCAUGAUAACGGCAUAGGAAUUUGAAGUUUUGUCCAAAAAUUGGAUGCAGUAUACUAGACACAUGACGGGGAAGAUUGUGCAAUCGAUUUUGCGUACCAAUCUACGCUCCGUUUCUGGAUCGAUCUCAUCGUAGUCGACAUCAAGGGCGUAAUUGAAAGCAGCAUCCACGCCUUUUGGCGAGAGAUCGCCAACGUCGACAUCGAGAAUUUCCUUAUUUUGGACACUCUCGGGAUCUUUCAGCUUUUCGUCUAUACUGAUGCUUGACAUUUUCUCGCUAGGCGCUUAAAUAUCUAAGCGGGAUUAUGGUAGUAUGUCUAAAAGUAGUAGAGAAAGGAAAGGGAAAAAAGAAAAAAGAAUUAAAAUUAGAGGAGGGAAAAGAGAAUGAAAUUUAGUAAAAGCUAUUUUCGCCAACACUUAUAAUGAGUGUAGUCGGGUUGUUUUUCUUAUUGAGGAUCGAUAUACUAAUGAAAUUGGCUUGUAGCAUUGCAAGGUGAUCCCU